This 404-nucleotide long non-coding RNA is filed under the name Rattus norvegicus (Norway rat). RNAcentral describes it as "long non-coding RNA NONRATT011286". The record is from RNAcentral. Lineage: Eukaryota; Metazoa; Chordata; Mammalia; Rodentia; Muridae.
GGCAGGAGCUGUUAGCACUGUUAAAGUGUGUAGAGGCCGAGAUUGCAAACUAUGAGGCCUGUCUCAAGGAGGAGGUGGAGAAAAGGAAGAAGUUCAAGGUGGGUGACCCCUCUACUGCCCGUUCCUCUGUCCUCUCCCAAGGACCAGCUGCUCUGAGAAGGUGAGCUGUGAUGCCCUCACCUGCCUUCUUUUCCACAGAUUGAUGACCAGCGAAGGACCCACAACUAUGAUGAGUUCAUCUGCACCUUCAUAUCCAUGCUGGCUCAGGAAGGAAUGCUGGCCAACCUGGUGGAGCAGAACAUCUCAGUGCGGCGCCGCCAAGGGGUCAGCAUUGGUCGGCUUCACAAGCAGCGGAAGCCUGAUAGGCGGAAACGCUCUCGCCCCUACAAGGCCAAACGCCAGUG